RNAcentral lists this ribosomal RNA (226 nucleotides) under uncultured bacterium. Its description in RNAcentral is "partial 16S ribosomal RNA". It matches the Rfam family "Bacterial small subunit ribosomal RNA", at positions 538 to 763 of the family's 1533-position model. The record is from RNAcentral.
GCGUUAUCCGGAUUCACUGGGUUUAAAGGGUGCGUAGGAGGGCAGGUAAGUCAGUGGUGAAAUCUCCAAGCUUAACUUGGAAACUGCCGUUGAUACUAUCUGUCUUGAAUAUUGUGGAGGUGAGCGGAAUAUGUCAUGUAGCGGUGAAAUGCUUAGAUAUGACAUAGAACACCAAUUGCGAAGGCAGCUCACUACUCAAUUAUUGACUCUGAGGCACGAAAGCGUG